GGUGUUAAAUUUGAGAGGGAUUUGAAGGAGGGUUCCAAGAGCAAUAAGCGUGCUGGGUCUGGAAAGGAAUCAAGUAAAGGUUCGAGUAGUAGCGGUAGCGGUAGUAGUAGUAGUUCAGAUGGCGAGUCUCGCGUUGUUGACAGGAGAAGGAAGGAGAAGGGCGAUGCUUCAGAGGAAAAACCUGCUAGUGUUUCAGAGGGAAAACCUGCUCGUGUUUCAGAGGAAAAACCUGCUAGUGUUUCAGAAGGUAAACCUGCUAGUGUUUCAGACGGAAAACCAACUCAUGUUUCAAAAGAAAAACCUGCUGGUGUGUCAGAGGGAAAACCAGCUCGUGUUUCAGAGGAAAAACCUGCUAGUGUUUCGGAGGAAAAACCUGCUAGUGAUUUAGUUAAGUCAGUUGAUUCUUUACUAGCAGAAGUGACUCACUCUGCUGGAGAUGCACCGGCUGAGAAGACUACGAGUUUAGAUGCAGAAAAGACCCAUUCACUUCAUUCUGAUAAGCCUGUAGCUUCUGUUCCUGGGAUGACUGUGCACCUUACAGAAACUACUCAAGUUGACGGUCUAGUGAUCUCUGGUACAGUGGUAAAACCGGCUGUGGAGAGUGGUACAGAGAAAUUGUUGCCUACUGGGGAUCCAGAAAGUUUGACAGAUUCUCUGCCAGAGAAAAUCGAGAGUAUGGUGACUCCCAUGCCAAUUGAGAAUGGUAAGGCAUCUCCGAGUAUGGCGGAAUCUGUAUCUAAAGAAAAUGGGAGUAAAGUGUUGCCAUCCUUAGUUGUUUCUGUCGCUCAAACUAGUAAUGAUGCUGGAUCCAUUAAAGAUUCCGAAAUUCCAGAGUAUUCUGAAAGCCAGGUACAGAUUGCACUUUAUUAUAUUAUGCCUUUUACGUCAACAGUUGAAUGCAACUUUCUUCCUUUAACUUUAUGCAGCCGCUAGUAGCUCCUGCCCCACGAGUGGUAGAAAAAACUUCUUGGUUUGGUUGCUGCGGAAUUCUGGACGUGAUAACAGGCUCUAGGAGAUAACUUCAGGUUAGAAAUUUGUAUCAACUUCACAACUUUAAAUAGAGUUGUCUACCUGUUACUUAUUUAUUUAUUGUUUUUAAUAUUUCUCUAUAGUACUUAGAUCUGUGGAUGCUCUGUUGUCUGUCUAUGUGUAUAUGGGGAAACCUAGGAAGUGAAAAGUGGUUAAGAUGUCUCAGAAAUGCCAUAGUUGUCCAAAUUCCAGGUUAAUAAUGAUUCAGGUAUGUUGCAUUUGUGAACUUUUCCAUCUGAGGUUUCAUAGGUGUUGAUUUGCUUGCAAGAGAGUUGGUUGUUUAUGUGUUAAGUUUACUCU
This 1329-nucleotide long non-coding RNA is filed under the name Fragaria vesca (wild strawberry). RNAcentral describes it as "long non-coding RNA (FVES_LNC001166)". The record is from RNAcentral. Lineage: Eukaryota; Viridiplantae; Streptophyta; Magnoliopsida; Rosales; Rosaceae.